CUACGGGGCGCUGCAGUGAGGAAUAUUGCACAAUGGGGGGAACCCUGAUGCAGCAACGCCGCGUGGAGGAUGACGCAUUUCGGUGUGUAAACUCCUUUUAUAUGUCAAGAAAAUGACGGUAGCAUAUGAAUAAGCACCGGCUAACUCCGUGGCCAGCAGCCGCGGUAAUACGGAGGGUGCAAGCGUUACUCGGAAUCACUGGGCGUAAAGGACGCGUAGGCGGGUUGGAAAGUCAGGUGUGAAAUCCUACAGCUUAACUGUAGAACUGCACUUGAAACUUCUAAUCUAGAGUAUGGGAGGGGGAGAUGGAAUUAGUGGUGUAGGGGUAAAAUCCGUAGAUAUCAUUAGGAAUACCUAAAGCGAAGGCGAUCUCCUGGAACAUUACUGACGCUAGGGCGUGAAAGCGUGGGGAGCAAACAGGAUUAGAUACCCCGGUAGUC
Molecule: ribosomal RNA, 440 nt
Filed under: uncultured bacterium
Lineage: Bacteria
Description: partial 16S ribosomal RNA
Rfam family: Bacterial small subunit ribosomal RNA
Source: RNAcentral